Molecule: long non-coding RNA, 3809 nt
Organism: Musa acuminata AAA Group (dessert banana)
Lineage: Eukaryota; Viridiplantae; Streptophyta; Magnoliopsida; Zingiberales; Musaceae
Exons: 4
Source: RefSeq, a predicted model, not a curated record
AGGAGAAGAUUGUGUUCAGAAAUCCAAAGAAAGUAGACACAAUUUGGAUUCAGGAUUGGGAUAUCUCAUUGCAACCACUAACAGGAACUGAUGCAAGCUCCGGUGGAGGAACUCGCAAUAUGGAUAGAGAAAAGGCGCCCCCAGUGAUGAUGUUUCAGAUGCCAGAGAUUCAACCAACUCCAGCCAUUGACUGUUCACUUCCUGCAGUGUUUUCAGUGAGCAAUCCGGAAGAGAUGAGUUACAUCAGGAGAGCACAUCAUACUGGAAGGUAAUUUUGCUGCCAUAUUUUUAAUUCUUUUCAUAAUAUAAGUAUUAUAUCAAACUGCAUGCAUAGUAUUAUUCUCAUGGACUCGAACCUGAAAUCCAUCACAUGAAUGAUCUAAUAAUUAUGUUACGAAAAUUAUCAUUUAACACUAAAGGUCAUCCAAUCCAAUCUCAAAUUAUUAAGAUACCUAAAUCAUUUGGUACAGAAGCUUUUUAUUCAGCCAUCUUAUCUGCAUGAUCAGUUCUUCUCUUUAGCAUUGCUCUGACAAAUAUUUCGUGCAUUAAAUCAUAGUUUUAUUUCCACGAUCCAAGUUCACAUCAGUUUUAUCUCAGCAUCAUCGGCUAAUAAAACAAAUACAUCAUGACAUGUAUCUCUAUCUGGUAGGUUCAUUCAUUCACCAAUAUAAGAAUAUAAAUAAAAUAAAAUAAAAGAUUUGAUGUUAUCAUCGGAUUCCUGACAAGACAUCAUGGGCCUCGGAUGACAUAAGUGGAAAUAGAUCAUCAUCAAUGUGACCCUCGGCCAUGGGAAAACCUAGUAAUCACACACACGAGCAAGGGAAGGGGAAAGACGAAGCAUCAAGAUUCGUUCUUACGAGGGAGGACAUGAGAGAUGAUGCCAAGUGGGAAAAGCGACCCAAAUCUGGUGCCCAUCCCUCGGACAGCGACUGGUGCCUCAUCUCACUCGGAUUAGGUGGCCAUGUCCAUCUCACUCGUGCCUCCAAUCGUGGGCAUAGUUAUUGCCCAUGCCAAUGUGGUCCCUCGACAUUGACCCAUGUGGCCCGUCAUGGGUCCGGACUCGGGUUUCAUCAACAUCAUCAUCAUCAUCUACCCAUCCGCCCCCACCCGACCAGGAGCAAUUUCCAUGCCCUCCCUCUCUCCGAGCUUGUUUUGUUGCCAUUUCCCAACUAAAACAUUAAUUGGAUGACAAGAACAGGCUUGGAACCUUUUUUGUGACGUGAGGCAUAAUGUCAGGAACAAUCUCAUCAUCUCUUUUUUUUUUCCUUUUAAUUAUGGAUGAGAAGUGACAAGAAGAUCUCCAACGUGAGGCAUAAGGUACAGGAGGCUUAAUUGGUUAAUCUUUCGAUAGCUUAUCAAUUUUCCUCAUUUCGUUACUCCAUCACCGGCUUUUGAUUCGAGAUACUACUGUAGGUCAAGUUUUAGGGAUUCAUGUUGAUCCAAGCUAAAUUUGAGGCCUUUUAAUCUGAGUUCCUAUAAGAAAAUAAAGACUCGAGCUGAGUUCAAAGAGUAUGAUCGUUUUGUUCUAUCCAACCUGUUUAAAGUAGAUUCUGAGUAUCUUUUACUUUAGAUCAUGCGGUUUCAAGUACUAACUAUUGAAUUGGAUUUGGAUGCUAAAACGAGCUAUUGAUGUUGAAAUUGGACUGUAAUUUAAAUAGAAUUUAUGGAUAUCUUAUUUAUCCUUAUUAUUAUACACAGUGGGUGAGACUUUGUAUAAUGUUAAAAUCGUUUCUUUAUAUCAUCAUCCCAUGUUGACAACAUAUAGGGAUCGAUAGUCUCGAAAAUAGAGAUAAGAUUAUAUACAUUGACUCUCUUUGAAUCUUACGUCGGCGAAAGAGAGCACUCUGCAUGUAUCUUCCCAUUAUCCUGGAUGUGCCUAAACUCUACAAUCACUACAAUAUAACCAGUAGAAAAAGAAAGAAAGAAAGAAAGAAAGAAAAAUAGCUUUCAUUUUGGGGGUCAAGUCCAAAAUAACUUUUAGAUCAGGAAUGAUUUCUUUACUAUUCUCCUCCUGCUCUUCUUGGCCUUUCACGAAUGAUGAAAGUUAUGGAUAAGGUGACUGGAUCUCUUCUGCAAAUCUUCAAGUACAGAACUCCUCAUGUUGGUAGAGAGAGAGAGAGAGUAGAAAAGCUCCUCAAAAGCCUGAUGGCAUGUGAGUUAGAUCUUAUUCAGGAACAAGAUGUUUUGGGCAUGGAAGCAUUUUGGUGAGAUCAAGUGGAAGGAGCAUGUGGUUUCCCCAACUCAUGAUUCAUGAGAGAGGAGGAGGACCACAGGUGAUUCGAGUCUGCAAACAUUGAGAUGGUGAGGGGUGACCCUCCACGGCUAGUAAGGGUUUAUGCUGAUCUCCCCACUCAUUGCAGAAAGCUAUGGAAAUUUCUGAUGAUUCAUCAUCCACCAUCACAAACACAGACUUCCCUACCAAACAACUUAUGAGCCAGCCAUUCAUUGAUGGUGCUGUGGAGUCAAUUCUGAGUUCUUUUAGAGUCAUUCGACUAUUGACGAAGCAUCAAACUGCUUCUUCUUCAACAUAAAAGGGUUUUGUACCCAUGGGAGAUGCAUUGGAACUUUGGUGUUUGAGUUGGUCCAAUCACUGUUUUAGCCGUUUCUUAGGCCCUAUUGGAUUGAGAUUUUGUGCGAGUUGGAUUUUUAGAUUGCAUAGUCAAAUCACUAUUUUAUUCUAUCUCAUGUUCUUUUGAGGAUUUGCACUCAACUGCAUCUUAAUUGUAUAAGUCUAUAUAAUUUAAUUGGAUCAUCGAUAUUUUCUACUAUUUCUUUAGGAAAGGUCUCGUUUUGACUCAAGACUAUAACAACUCGUUUUGAUGUCAGAUUUGUCGAUCAUCGUUCCGAUCGAAUGGGCUCAUCUAUUGACACAAAUAUUUAUAUCUUGAUCAGCGUUGCAUCGAUCUUAUAGAACAAAGAAUUGCAUAUUGUAUCAAUCAAGUGUGCGUGACACAUCCACCAAAUAUGUCGAUCGUCAAUUUAUCUUCAUAUCUCCCUAUCUACGGAUAACAUUUUGAACGGAAAAGAAAAACCUAAAAAUUAAGCGACAUUAGAUAUCUAGGGAUAAAAUUAAGUAUACAAAUGUUAUAAGUAGGAAUCCAUCAAUCGGAGGAGGGACUCUGACAUUUAACAAUUUUGUUAAAUAAUAUAUAUUAUAUCAAACAAUAAAAUACAUUAGUAAUAAUAAUAUAAAAAUAUAUAUAAUACAAUUCAAGAAGAUGAUAUGGGCAAUGAUAAGAGAGAACAAAAGAGAAUCGAAAACUUUAAAGUUGAGAGUAUUUAAAUCUUUUAAAUAUUUAGCGAACAAGCCAAUUGAUCUGUUAGAUCCGAAUUUUAUAACUAUAUUUCCGAAUGAUUUUGAUGUCUCUAUUCCAAUAUUUCUGAAUGAUUAGUGUGGAAGUCAAUAGAUAAGAUGGUGAGAUGUUGCUUGCCAAGCCAGUCAGAUGCAAACAACAGCAAUACCAACAAAAGGAGCGGUAAUGUCCCAAGAAGCCAAGUUAAAAUGCAUGUUAGCCAAACGCAGUGGUCCUGAUGCUGAUGGUCUUUAAUAGCACCAAGACAAGUCCGGCAGCUGCCGUCGCCACUGCAACUGUGUCCCUUGUACUAGUUGCCCACCAAUCAGCAGACUGGCCUCUGCAUUUGAGUCCAUCUGAUAUCUCUUCACAUAUGUUCUGUCAUCGUCGAUGCUGAAAACUUCUUCUUCUUCUUCUUCUUCUUCUUCUUCUUCUUCUUCUGCAAGCAGCAAAUCACGCACGCAACGCUUUGAUGGUUCAUUGUUUCCGGACGUUGGCAGUCAGCUUCUUCGGAUG